Molecule: ribosomal RNA, 1428 nt
Filed under: Planococcus chinensis
Lineage: Bacteria; Bacillati; Bacillota; Bacilli; Caryophanales; Caryophanaceae
Description: Planomicrobium chinense 16S ribosomal RNA
Rfam family: Bacterial small subunit ribosomal RNA
Source: RNAcentral
AUACAUGCAGUCGAGCGGAACCUUGGAGCUUGCUCCUUUUGGUUUACGGCCGAACGGUUGAGUAACACGGGGGCAACCUGCCUGGCAAAUCGGAUUAACUCCGGAAAACCGUGGCUAUUACCGAAUAGUUAAUAACCUCUCCGGAGGUUAUACGGAAAGACGGUUUCGGUUGUCACUGCAGGAUGGGCCCGCGGCGCAUUACUUAGUUGGGGGGGUAACGGCCCACCAAGGCAACAAUGCGUACCCAACCUGAAAGGUGGAUCGGCCACACGGGAACUGAAACACGGCCCAAACUCCUACGGAAGGCAGCAGUAGGAAAUCUUCCGCAUGGAACCCAGGUCUGACGAACCACCCCCCCGGGAGUGACAAAGGUUUUCGAAUCGAAAAAUUCUGUUGGGAGGAAAAAACAAUUACCACUUAACUACGGGUACCUUGACGGUACCUCACCAAAAAGCCACGGUUAAUUACUGGCCACCACCCGCGGUAUUACUUAGGUGGCAGGCGUUGUCCGAAAUUAUGGGCGGUAAAGCGGGCGCAGGCGGCCCCUUAAUCCUAAUGUGAAAGCCCACGGUUCACCGUGGAAGGGUCAUUGAAAACUGGGGAACUGGAUGGCAAAGAAGGAAGUUGAAAUUCCCCUUGUACCGUGGAAUGGCUUAAAGAGGUGAAGAACCACCAGUGCCGAAGGCAACUUUCUGGUCUGUAACUGACGCUGAGGCGCGAAAGCGUGGGGAGCAAACAGGAUUAGAUACCCUGGUAGUUCACGCCGUAAACGAUGAGUGCUAAGUGUUAGGGGGUUUCCGCCCCUUAGUGCUGCAGCUAACGCAUUAAGCACUUCGCCUGGGGAGUACGGCCGCAAGGCUGAAACUCAAAGGAAUUGACGGGGGCCCGCACAAGCGGUGGAGCAUGUGGUUUAAUUUGAAGCAACGCGAAGAACCUUACCAGGUCUUGACAUCCCGCUGCCCGCCUAGGAGACUAGGCUUUCCCUUUGGGGACAGCGGUGACAGGUGGUGCAUGGUUGUUGUCAGCUCGUGUCGUGAGAUGUUGGGUUAAGUUCCGCAACGAGCGCAACCCUUGAUUUUAGUUGCCAGCCUUCAGUUGGGCCCUUUAAGGUGACUGCCGGUGACAAACCGGAGGAAGGUGGGGAAGACGUCAAAUCAUCAUGCCCCUUAUGACCUGGGCUACACACGUGCUACAAUGGACGGUACAAAGGGCUGCAAACCCGCGAGGGGGAGCCAAUUCCAGAAAACCGUUUUCAGUUUGGAUUGCAGGCUGCAACUUGCCUGCAUGAAGCCGGAAUCGCUAGUAAUCGUGGAUCAGCAUGCCCCGGUGAAUACGUUCCCGGGCCUUGUACACCCCCCCCGUCACCCCCCGAGAGUUUGUAACCCCCGAAGUCGGUGAGGUAACCACUUGUGGAGCCAGCCGCCGAAG